CGGGGGGGGCAAGCGUUGUUCGGAAUUACUGGGCGUAAAGGGCUCGUAGGCGGCCAACUAAGUCGGAUGUGAAAUCCCCAGGCUCAACUUGGGAACUGCAUCCGAUACUGGAUGGCUUGAAUCCGGGAGAGGGAUGCAGAAUUCCAGGUGUAGCGGUGAAAUGCGUAGAUAUCUGGAGGAAUACCGGUGGCGAAGGCGGCAUCCUGGACCGGCAUUGACGCUGAUGAGCGAAAGCUAGGGGAGCAAACGGGAUUAGAUACCCCGGUAGUCCUAGCCCUAAACGAUGAAUGCUUGGUGUGGCGGGUAUCGAUCCCUGCCGUGCCGAAGCUAACGCAUUAAGCAUUCCGCCUGGGGAGUACGGUCGCAAGGCUG
This 372-nucleotide ribosomal RNA is filed under the name uncultured organism. Its description in RNAcentral is "bacterial SSU rRNA". It matches the Rfam family "Bacterial small subunit ribosomal RNA", at positions 526 to 896 of the family's 1533-position model. The record is from RNAcentral.